This 278-nucleotide long non-coding RNA is filed under the name Columba livia (rock pigeon). Its description in RNAcentral is "partial uncharacterized LOC102085127". The record is from RNAcentral. Lineage: Eukaryota; Metazoa; Chordata; Aves; Columbiformes; Columbidae.
UGAUGAAAUUGAGAAGGUUGCAAAGCAGUUCGGUGCUCAAGUUCAUCGCAGAAGCCCUGAAGUUUCUCAAGACUCCUCAACGUCUCUAGAAGCUAUCAGAGAGUUUCUUAAUCAGCAUCCUGAGGUUGAUAUUGUAGGAAAUAUUCAAGCAACAUCUCCCUGUUUACAUCCUAGUGAUCUUAUAAAAGUGGCAGAUCUGCUCCAGAAGGAGGGAUUUGAUUCUGUCUUCUCUGUUGUGAGACGGCACCAAUUUAGAUGGAGUGAGGUAAAAAAAGGAG